AAUUCCCGGGGCCCAGAGGAAGAGGCAAGCUGGACCACUCUAUUGGAGAAAUCUAUUCCCUUUAGUACUGUGGAGGAGUCACAUGGCCAGUAGACUGAAUCUUUCAGGCUACACACUAAAGCCAUCUGACUCCAGCACUGGAGGACUUUAUCCUUCUCUUUUCAAGUAGAAAGAGAAUAUUGAGGAAAGACAAGGCAAGAGUUCUCGUCCCAACCCUGCCUGUGACCUUUCUCCAUCACCCUAUGGAGAUGUCCCACCUCCCAGAUGGUAAGAUGGGUCUGCACUGUGAUUGCCUGUCCUGGAGUUGAUCCACUAUACCUUGACUGUAUUGUAUGAAGCCGAUUGGAGACACUAAAGAAAAGACGGGAACUCCAUGAUGGUCUCAGAAAUUCCUCCGUUAAAGCUCCUUCUCAUCCUCUCUCCCUUCCAGGGCCUCCCCCCAAUUAGAUCUCUGCCUGCAGCUCCAGGACCUGCUCUAUACAGUGUCUGGACCUUCUGGGUCUCCCAACUCACUUAAUGAACACUUAGCAUUUUGUUCUCUGAACAAGUUAUAUAAUUUCUGAGUCAUGAUCAGACAGCAGAGAUUUCUCCACCAAAACCAGAAAAGAAAGCAUUGUGUGCUAAGUGCCCCUCAUCUCUUUGUGGGACACCCCAGUUCUGCAGAAGUCUGCAGAAGACUGCUGCGGAGAGCCAAGAUGGUUAGGAGCCUGUCCUCUAGCAUCCUAUUGGCUGCAGGUGACUUGAAGAGGAGUAUUUGCUGCAACAAGCGAAGGCUCAGAGAGAGCUGAUGUGGCUCCUUGGGCUGGCUUCGUAGGGAUCGGGCCCCUUGUGCAAUCACUAAACCCUGGCUUUGUGCCAAUGUGCCAGUGGCCUGCAUGAGGUUCAUAAGUACCAAGCUGGGAAUGUGAACUUCUUGGCCCACCCCAAAAGAGAUAGUCCUCCCAAGCUAAGCUCAACAAGACCUGGGAAGUGUGACUUUACAUGAGGCAUCUUUUGUAGACAGAGCACAGGCUUUGUAAAGUGCUACAACCAUUGGAGCCUUUGGCAUUUCCUUUCCUUCUUGGCAUGGUAAAGCCAACACUCAACACCAAUUACAAUACAGAGGUGACCAAUU
RNAcentral lists this long non-coding RNA (1114 nucleotides) under Mus musculus (house mouse). Its description in RNAcentral is "long non-coding RNA chr12:79937272-79938386". Lineage: Eukaryota; Metazoa; Chordata; Mammalia; Rodentia; Muridae. The record is from RNAcentral.